RNAcentral lists this ribosomal RNA (909 nucleotides) under uncultured Methanoculleus sp. RNAcentral's name for it is "bacterial SSU rRNA". It matches the Rfam family "Archaeal small subunit ribosomal RNA", at positions 86 to 1000 of the family's 1478-position model. The record is from RNAcentral. Lineage: Archaea; Methanobacteriati; Methanobacteriota; Methanomicrobia; Methanomicrobiales; Methanomicrobiaceae.
CUGCUCAGUAACACGUGGAUAACCUGCCCUAAGGAAGGGGAUAACCCCGGGAAACUGGGGAUAAUACCCUAUAGGUUACAGGUGCUGGAAUGCUCUGUAACCCAAAGUUCCGACGCCUUAGGAUGGAUCUGCGGCCGAUUAGGUUGUUGUUGGGGUAACGGCCCAACAAGCCAGUAAUCGGUACGGGUUGUGGGAGCAAGAGCCCGGAGUUGGAUUCUGAGACACGAAUCCAGGCCCUACGGGGCGCAGCAGGCGCGAAAACUUUACAAUGCGGGCAACCGUGAUAAGGGAACCUCGAGUGCCUGUAUAUGCAGGCUGUCCAGGUGUCUAAAAAACACCUGAAGAAAGGGCCGGGCAAGACCGGUGCCAGCCGCCGCGGUAAUACCGGCGGCUCGAGUGGUGGCCACUUUUAUUGGGCUUAAAGCGUUCGUAGCUGGGUUGUUAAGUCUCUUGGGAAAUCUGACGGCUUAACCGUCAGGCGUCUAAGAGAUACUGGCAAUCUUGGAACCGGGAGAGGUGAGGGGUACUUCGGGGGUAGGAGUGAAAUCCUGUAAUCCUCGAGGGACCACCUGUGGCGAAGGCGCCUCACCAGAACGGCUUCGACAGUGAGGGACGAAAGCUGGGGGAGCAAACCGGAUUAGAUACCCGGGUAGUCCCAGCCGUAAACGAUGCGCGUUAGGUGUAUCGGUGACCACGAGUCACCGAGGUGCCGAAGGGAAACCGUGAAACGUGCCGCCUGGGAAGUACGGUCGCAAGGCUGAAACUUAAAGGAAUUGGCGGGGGAGCACCACAACAGGUGGAGCCUGCGGUUUAAUUGGACUCAACGCCGGAAAUCUCACCGGAUAAGACAGCGGAAUGAUUGCCGGGCUGAAGACUCUGCAUGACUAGCUGAGAGGAGGUGCAUGGGCC